GCCCCACCCAGUGCCGCCGCCUGACCUCCUCUCGCACGCAGCCAAUAGGAGAGCUACCGCCCCAUCCGUCUCGCCGCACCACUAGGUCGAGUCACAGGCCAUGCAGCGUGGCACCCUGCGUGGCGCAUGAGCGAUGGCCGGCGGCGCCCCCCUCCCCUCCCCUGCAUGAUGGGCGGCAGCGCAGGCGGGGCAGGUAUGAUGCUGCCGAAGCUCUUCCAAGCUCUGUGUGCUAGUUCGGUUGAAGAUCUGCUUCUUUCCUCACUUGUUGAACUCCCUCAGUUCUUGUUUCUCCAGAACUCGUGGGUUCUCAGCCUUGUACUUACUAUGCACAGCAUGGCUUUUGCAAGUUUGGGCCGACAUGCAAGUUUGAUCACCCGAUGGGCACUCUAAACUUUAGUCCUUCAGUGUCAUCACUUACUGAUGUGCCAGUCACUCCAUAUCCUCUCAGUUUCCCUGUUACUCCUAUGGCACCAUAUCCAUCAUCUUCUGAUCUGCGGCCACAGUACACUCUAACCAAGGAGCACUCUGCUAAUCCACAUGCAGUCUCGGAUUCUUUUUGCUCCGAUUUGACUGCCCAUCUAUUGUGAAUAAAGGCUGCAGCUGACAUAGGAAUAAAUGCAAAGAUAGGAAUUGGCAAGCUCAUUCACUUGCCAUUUUCUCAUCUCAUUGGUGUUUGCUUUUAAUCUGAUUAUAGUGUUGAGCACAUGUUCAUGCCUAUUAUGUUUGUCUUUAAUCUGAUUUCCAUGUUUGAAUCUGACCAGACCACAUGUCCAAGCUGAUGGUGAUUCAUUUGUAACUUAGUAUAAGCAUCAGGUGGCUGCCGGCCACUAGCUAGCAUCAUUCCCAUCUCCAUGGCUCGCUCUCCAAGCACCAGGUCAAGCUCAAGCCUCCAGCAAAGCUGCAAGCAACAGGACAGUAACGAGGCAACAAGUUAACUUGGUGAAAAGUAGCAAAUUUGCUAGUUCCCUCUAUCCCUCUAGAAAAUGGCUGACGGUGAGGAUAUAUCCAGCCUCUUGUCUGUGACAAUGGAAUUGGAAUGGUCAUGGAUGGGUUUGCCAGUGAUGAUGCACCAAAGGCUGUUUUCCCUUAGGCAUGUUGAAUUGUAGUAAAAAAACAAAAGUAUGUAUUAUUUUACAACAUUUUGAGCUAAUGGGAACCAGACUAUAGAUAUAUUAUCUUGGCUCUUGGCUUGUAUGGAUGAUGUGCUAUAUAUGUUCAGUUAUUAAGAAUAUGUUAGUCUGAUUAUGUUGAGUAAUAUAUGACUAUAUGAUGUAUGAAUCACUCAUUGAAUCGAAUGUUUGUCUGGAAUUA
Panicum virgatum (switchgrass) is the source of this 1311-nucleotide long non-coding RNA. RefSeq lists it as uncharacterized. The record is from RefSeq and is a predicted model, not a curated record. The transcript is spliced from 6 exons. NCBI's taxonomy places the organism in Eukaryota, Viridiplantae, Streptophyta, Magnoliopsida, Poales, Poaceae.